Molecule: non-coding RNA, 862 nt
Organism: Onychostoma macrolepis
Lineage: Eukaryota; Metazoa; Chordata; Actinopteri; Cypriniformes; Cyprinidae
Source: the annotation of a RefSeq genome assembly
ACAUCCAGUCUGGAGCCGCUGCCGAAAGUCCAUCACAGUGAUACAAACUAAUAGAGCAGCUGCACAAAAGCCUCUGCACGCUUCAGCAGCUGCGCUGUUCACUGCAUCUACACAAAAACUGUUUUACUUCUACUUGCUAUUUUCUUCAAAUACCAGUAAAAUUAGAAAUUACAUUUUUAAAAAUGUUUAAUUUCACACUUAAACAUUCUAAACUCCAGCUGAUUCACUGAUGGUAAACUACUCAAUGUUAAUGAAAUAUCAUCAGCAUGUCCUAGCAAACUCUUGAGAAAUAUCAGCUGAUCCUGAUAGGAAGUCUUCGUAUUUGUGAAAAACAAAACAAAACAAAACAAAACAUUUGAUAACAGUUUAAUCUGAAUUUAUUUUAAAAUUCAAAAGUGACACAGAUGUGACAUUUUGUCUGCGCCAUCCCUCUGUUUAAGACUGACUGUCAUCGAUCAGGACUGAAAACAGCAGCUCUCGUCUGUUCUCUCUCGAUCCUAGCAAAGAUGACUGCAAACGCUCUGAUGUUCUGCUCUCUACUGCUUUCUCUUCCUGGUUGUUCAGCUGAGAGUCCAUCAGUGGAUUCGGUGUCUGUGGGAAGCAGAGUCACUCUCAACUGCAGGUCCAGCAGUGCUAGUUUUACAUCCAGUUUAGCCUGGUAUCAUCAGAAACCCAGCCAAACACACAAACUCCUGUUCUAUAGUGUUGGUAGCAAAGUGUCUGGAGUUUCUGAGAGAUUCACUGAUGGGAGAUCAGGAACAAACUUCAUGCUUAAUAUCAGAAAUGUCCAGUCUGAAGACGCAGGAGAUUAUUACUGUCAACAGUAUUAUGAGCUACCACGAACACAGUGAUACAGAGCCGU